Armigeres subalbatus is the source of this 502-nucleotide long non-coding RNA. RefSeq lists it as uncharacterized. NCBI's taxonomy places the organism in Eukaryota, Metazoa, Arthropoda, Insecta, Diptera, Culicidae. The transcript is spliced from 3 exons. The record is from RefSeq and is a predicted model, not a curated record.
AUAUGGAGCUGUCAAAAUAAUGGGUAAUUUAUUUUUGACAAUAAUGCGUAUUUUAUGCCCAUUUCCAUGUUCCAUGUUUUUACUCAUUAAUGAGUGAAAAACAAGUUCAGUUUCAAACAAACGAUGGAAAAAGCUGUUGGCGGAAGAAUGUUCACAAAGGCUGUCAAGAACCAGGAGUUUGAGCCUUUUAUGUACACAUGCCUCAUAACCCGAAUGGAUUGGGGUAGACCCCGUUGCAAGUAUGUACCAAGCGAUUCGGACUGCUGCGGAACAUCCACCGGCACUUAUAAAACACUCCGUGAUAGGAUCAAUAUGUUGCUUACAUUCGGUUCCAAAUCUGGAGAUCCUGUGCGGUGCUUAUUUGUUUAGUCACCCGGCUACUUUUUCAAGCAAUCGAAUAACGUCGGGAAUAACCUUCGCACUGACCACAACUGUCUGGAAUAACCGUCGAGACAGCCGCUGGGAGUACUUUGACUGCCGGUGGUAGAACCGGGAAGAGAGA